Molecule: ribosomal RNA, 253 nt
Filed under: uncultured bacterium
Lineage: Bacteria
Description: partial 16S ribosomal RNA
Rfam family: Bacterial small subunit ribosomal RNA
Source: RNAcentral
UACGUGAGGGGCGAACGUUGUUCGGUGUCACUGGGCUUAAAGGGUGCGUAGGUGGUUGCGUAAGUAACGUGUGAAAGCCCUCGGCUUACCCGGGGAAUUGCGCGUUAUACUGCGUGACUUGAGGAUUUCAGGGGAAUGGGGAACUCCAGGUGUAGCGGUGAAAUGCGUAGAUAUCGUAAGGAAGACCAGUGGCGAAGGCGGGUCUCUGGACAGUUCCUGACGCUGAGGCACGAAGGUCAGGGGAGCAAACGGG